UUAGGGACCAGUCAUUAUUUAUGGUGGGGGGUGGCACCGAAGAGAAAUGUUUUUUGUCGGAAAAAUUUUGCUGACCCAACCAUUAAAAAGUCAAAAAUUUGAUUACCCAACCUCAAAUAUCAAUUAAAAAAUAAAUACCCACCCCUGGCCAAAACCUUUACAAAAGGAUACCAUUCAGUUGUCACACAUGUUCUUUUAAUUGCCACUUUUGUGACAUGAGUUUGAUAACGGCUUGUGAAAUUUUCUGCAAUCUUAACUUUCAUAUUGUCUGCACAUGUAGUUUCUUUGGAGACACCAUUUGUCUCCUGAAAAAUCGGAAAAUGAUGAAGAUAGUGACUUGAUUCACAUAUUGUAUUGACAUAUGAUUGUUGACAUUGCUUUUUAGUCUCCAAUAUUUCAGUGAGUCAUGCUUUGGAAAUGACAAUAUUUUUUUAUUACCCAACCCUUGAGUUGUUUUGUUUUUCAUUUACCCAACCGUUUACUUACUUAAAAUUUUGUUUACCCAACCCUUUUCUCUUCGGUGCCACCCCCAGCCAUAAAUAAUGACCGGUCCCUUA
Paramuricea clavata is the source of this 557-nucleotide non-coding RNA. The record is from the annotation of a GenBank genome assembly. Lineage: Eukaryota; Metazoa; Cnidaria; Anthozoa; Malacalcyonacea; Plexauridae.